UACGAAGGGUGCAAGCGUUACUCGGAAUUACUGGGCGUAAAGCGUGCGUAGGCGGUUUGUUAAGUCCGUUGUGAAAGCCCUGGGCUCAACCUGGGAAUUGCAGUGGAUACUGGCGAGCUAGAGUGCGGUAGAGGAUGGUGGAAUUCCCGGUGUAGCGGUGAAAUGCGUAGAGAUCGGGAGGAACACCCGUGGCGAAGGCGACACGCUGGGCCGUACCUGACACUGAUGCGCGACAGCAUGGGGAGCAAACAGG
RNAcentral lists this ribosomal RNA (253 nucleotides) under uncultured bacterium. Its description in RNAcentral is "partial 16S ribosomal RNA". It matches the Rfam family "Bacterial small subunit ribosomal RNA", at positions 524 to 776 of the family's 1533-position model. The record is from RNAcentral.